This 498-nucleotide ribosomal RNA is filed under the name Neisseria shayeganii. RNAcentral's name for it is "bacterial SSU rRNA". It matches the Rfam family "Bacterial small subunit ribosomal RNA", at positions 9 to 494 of the family's 1533-position model. The record is from RNAcentral. Lineage: Bacteria; Pseudomonadati; Pseudomonadota; Betaproteobacteria; Neisseriales; Neisseriaceae.
GAGUUUGAUCAUGGCUCAGAUUGAACGCUGGCGGCAUGCUUUACACAUGCAAGUCGGACGGCAGCACAAAGAAGCUUGCUUCUUGGGUGGCGAGUGGCGAACGGGUGAGUAACGCAUCGGAACGUACCGAGUAGUGGGGGAUAACUGUCCGAAAGGAUGGCUAAUACCGCAUACGCUUUGAGAAGGAAAGCGGGGGAUCUUCGGACCUCGCGCUAUUCGAGCGGCCGAUGUCUGAUUAGCUAGNUGGUGGGGUAAAGGCCUACCAAGGCGACGAUCAGUAGCGGGUCUGAGAGGAUGAUCCGCCACACUGGGACUGAGACACGGCCCAGACUCCUACGGGAGGCAGCAGUGGGGAAUUUUGGACCNAUGGGCGCAAGCCUGAUCCAGCCAUGCCGCGUGUCUGAAGAAGGCCUUCGGGUUGUAAAGGACUUUUGUCAGGGAAGAAAAGCUUGAGGCUAAUACCCUUGAGUGAGGACGGUACUCUGAAGAAUAAGCACC